RNAcentral lists this ribosomal RNA (463 nucleotides) under uncultured bacterium. Its description in RNAcentral is "bacterial SSU rRNA". It matches the Rfam family "Bacterial small subunit ribosomal RNA", at positions 917 to 1382 of the family's 1533-position model. The record is from RNAcentral.
GGGCCCGCACAAGCAGUGGAGUAUGUGGUUUAAUUCGAAGCAACGCGAAGAACCUUACCAGGGCUUGACAUCCCUCGCAUACCAUAGAGAUAUGGUAGUCCUUCGGGACGAGGAGACAGGUGGUGCAUGGUUGUCGUCAGCUCGUGUCGUGAGAUGUUGGGUUAAGUCCCGCAACGAGCGCAACCCCUGCUGUUAGUUGCCAACACGUAAAGGUGUGCACUCUAACGGGACUGCCGGUGACAAAUCGGAGGAAGGUGGGGACGACGUCAAAUCAUCAUGCCCCUUAUGUCCUGGGCGACACACGUACUACAAUGGCUGGUACAGAGGGAAGCUAAGGAGCAAUCCGGAGCAAAUCCCCAAAGACAGUCUCAGUUCGGAUUGCGGGCUGAAACCCGCCCGCAUGAAGUCGGAAUUGCUAGUAAUGGCAGGUCAGCAUACUGCCGUGAAUACGUUCCCGGGCCUU